Molecule: ribosomal RNA, 176 nt
Filed under: uncultured bacterium
Lineage: Bacteria
Description: partial 16S ribosomal RNA
Rfam family: Bacterial small subunit ribosomal RNA
Source: RNAcentral
UCCACGAAGCUGGAUUCGCUAGUAAUCGCGCAUCAGCCACGGCGCGGUGAAUACGUUCCCGGGCCUUGUACACACCGCCCGUCAAGCCAUGGAAGCCGGGAGUGCCUGAAGUGCGUGACCGCAAGGAGCGUCCUAAGGCAAUACCGGUGACUGGGGCUAAGUCGUAACAAGGUAUC